Molecule: ribosomal RNA, 402 nt
Filed under: bacterium
Lineage: Bacteria
Description: partial 16S ribosomal RNA
Rfam family: Bacterial small subunit ribosomal RNA
Source: RNAcentral
UGGGGAAUUUUGCACAAUGGGGGAAACCCUGAUGCAGCGACGCCGCGUGAUUUAGAAGGCCUUCGGGUUGUAAAAAUCUUUUCUAUGGGAAGAAAAUGACAGUACCAUAGGAAUAAGGACCGGCUAAUUACGUGCCAGCAGCCGCGGUAAUACGUAAGGUCCGAGCGUUGUCCGGAAUCAUUGGGCGUAAAGGGUACGUAGGCGGGUAAGUAAGUUAGAAGUGAAAUCCUAUAGCUCAACUAUAGUAAGCUUUUAAAACUGCUCAUCUUGAGGUAUGGAAGGGAAAGUGGAAUUCCUAGUGUAGCGGUGAAAUGCGCAGAUAUUAGGAGGAAUACCGGUGGCGAAGGCGACUUUCUGGCCAUAACCUGACGCUGAGGUACGAAAGCGUGGGUAGCAAACAGG